Molecule: transfer RNA, 84 nt
Filed under: Helicosporidium sp. ex Simulium jonesi
Lineage: Eukaryota; Viridiplantae; Chlorophyta; Trebouxiophyceae; Chlorellales; Chlorellaceae
Description: tRNA-Tyr
Rfam family: tRNA
About the family: Transfer RNA (tRNA) molecules are approximately 80 nucleotides in length. Their secondary structure includes four short double-helical elements and three loops (D, anti-codon, and T loops).
Source: RNAcentral
GAGUCAAUGCCCGAGAGGUUAAAGGGGUCGGACUGUAAAUCCGAUGAUUUUAAAUCUACGCUGGUUCGAAUCCAGUUUGGCUCA